GCACCCGUGGCUCAAUUGGAUAGAGCGUUGCCCUCCGAAGGCAAAGGUUGCGCGUUCGAAUCGCGCCGGGUGCGCCA
This 77-nucleotide transfer RNA is filed under the name Alphaproteobacteria bacterium. RNAcentral's name for it is "tRNA-Arg". It matches the Rfam family "tRNA". From Rfam's summary of the family: Transfer RNA (tRNA) molecules are approximately 80 nucleotides in length. Their secondary structure includes four short double-helical elements and three loops (D, anti-codon, and T loops). Lineage: Bacteria; Pseudomonadati; Pseudomonadota; Alphaproteobacteria. The record is from RNAcentral.